UAUUUCCUGUGAGCGUCGGCUGGACGACUACGAAUAUUCAACGCAGAACUCUGAACUGCCAUAGAUCCACUAGUCUAAAGAAAGAAAAGCAAAGGUUCUUCGUGUCUCCACAGUGAUUUCUCAGUAUUGCUGAUUCAGAAGUUGAAUUCAUGAAGCUGAGGAUAGAGGAUACUUUGAAAAGAAUAAUCUAAACCAUUAUCAUGAACAACUUCUUUAGUGAUGAAGAGCCCAAAUCCAAAGCCUUUUCCUAAGAAAAACUUGCACAGCAGGGAAAAUCUUCAAGGAAACUAAAAAGGGAACAGUUUUGACAAGUGAAUCUUGGUGCCAUCAAGGAAUGAACGAAAAGGGAAUAUCAAUCUCAUCCAAUACAUCAACGAAAAAACACAGAGGAAAAUAACAGCAUACAGGACAUCACCUGGAACUCAACCAUAGGUUUAUGUAUUUAGAUGGCAUUGACCUCCGUGAGAACAGCAAUUUUAAAAGUUCUGUUCAAUAUGACUAAUGCAGACAUGCCAACAUCAGAAAGUUGAUCACUCUCUUGAGUUAUUAGUAAAUGAAAUAUAUCAAUGGUAUAGUGCUUUACUGACAUGCAUUUACUUUAUUAACGUCAUUAAUAUUGUCCAUAUUUAACCAAUAACCCCUAAUUUUUCUCAAGAGGAUUAAUGUUUAAUUACUACUUGUAUUUUUUUUAUUUAAUAUAUGUUUUUAAUUUACUAGUUGUGCACUUGUUAUUUCUUUGUUUGCUUCUUAUGUGUUACAAACAUGUAUCUCCCAAUGUCAUGGAGAUAGAUUAUCUAUUUAACAUAUUGUACGUGUAAGUCUGUUGACAGUCCCCAUGAUCCAAUGUGUAUUUUAUUACAUGUAUAAACAUUGUAACUAUAA
Saccostrea cuccullata (small rock oyster) is the source of this 882-nucleotide long non-coding RNA. RefSeq lists it as uncharacterized. The record is from RefSeq and is a predicted model, not a curated record. NCBI's taxonomy places the organism in Eukaryota, Metazoa, Mollusca, Bivalvia, Ostreida, Ostreidae. The transcript has 4 exons.